RNAcentral lists this long non-coding RNA (209 nucleotides) under Mytilus galloprovincialis (Mediterranean mussel). Lineage: Eukaryota; Metazoa; Mollusca; Bivalvia; Mytilida; Mytilidae. The record is from RNAcentral.
GUGUGUUUUCAGUUUAUUUAUUCUCAGUGUGUCUUUUUGAAAUCUCAGUGUGUAAUUUUCAAUUCUCAGUGUGUAAUUUUCAAAUCUCAGUGUGUGUUUUUCAUUUUUGUAAUCUCAGUGCGUCUUUAUGAAAUCUCAGUGUGUAAUUGUAAUUCUCAGUGUGUAAAUUUUUCGAAAAAUGGUUUAAACAUAGUUUUGACGAGAACGGC